ACUUUUGCACAGUGGCAGUAUCAUAGCCAAUGAGGUUUAUCCAAGGCUCUAUUGUAGCUAAUUGAAAAUCCUCCCAAUAUGCUGCCAUGAUGACUUGAAAUAUAGUCAGCAUUGGCAAUUUCUUUCUUUCUUUCUUUUUUUUUUUUUUUGAGA
Non-coding RNA from Otolemur garnettii (small-eared galago), 153 nucleotides. Lineage: Eukaryota; Metazoa; Chordata; Mammalia; Primates; Galagidae. The record is from Rfam.